Molecule: ribosomal RNA, 253 nt
Filed under: uncultured bacterium
Lineage: Bacteria
Description: partial 16S ribosomal RNA
Rfam family: Bacterial small subunit ribosomal RNA
Source: RNAcentral
UACGUAGGAUGCAAGCGUUGUUCGGAAUUACUGGGCGUAAAGAGUACGUAGGCGGUUUGAUAAGUCUGCUAUUAAAGACUGGAGCUUAACUCCAGGACUGUAGUGGAAACUGUCAGACUAGAGGACAAUAGAGGAAGUCGGAAUUCUCAGUGUAGCGGUGAAAUGCGUAGAUAUUGGGAAGAACACCAGUGGCGAAAGCGGACUUCUGGGUUGUUACUGACGCUGAGGUACGAAAGCGUGGGGAGCAAGCGGG